CCGGGCACGGUCACGGUCACAGCCGCCGCCCGCUAUGACUUCAUUGGACCUGGGAGAAUUAGAAACUUCCCUGAGGAAACAAGUCACUGGCCACUCAUGGAGAUUUGCCAAGGAGAUUGUGCAGCAGAUAAAUUACUGACGUAUAAAAGGAAAAAGACUAAGAAAGAAAAAAAAUGCAGUAAGAACAAAAUAGAAAAUAUGGAUGAGUUAUACGUCCACUCCAAUAUGUCGCCUCCACUGUGGAGGUAGCAAUUUUCUACAUUUUGUCUCCAGUAUAAUGUUCAUGAAGUUACUGAAUUAAAAUGAGCAGUACUAGGGCUUGAUGGUAUUUGUCCAAGGGUUUUAAAGGAACUUAGGUAGGAAAUUUCUGAUUGCUUGUCUUUGUUGCAUUGUCUAAUCAACCUCUUUUUGUAAUUAUCAGAAUUAUUAUGAAAUUCAGGAAGGUCUGCAGUGCUAAUUCGAAAAUUGGGAAUGGAUGGCUUAGUCUGGCUGCUGCCCUGAUGAAUCUGCAGAAAAUGUUCUUAGGCUGUUUAUAGAUAGCACGUGUAUAAUAGGUAAACAUCUAUCUGUGGUCCUCUUCUGUAGAGGUAAACAAAAAGCUCUCAGGCUAUUUUGUUAUUUGAAGGAGCCAGUAAGCAUCUCUCUGGUCUGCAUAGUGGUGUCUAUUCAGAUGUCAGUAAAGUUUUUCACAAAACCAUGAGCAAAUACUAUCAUUAAAGGCAUGAGAUCUCCUUGGGAUAAGAUAUAUCAUAAAUAGUAGAAAAGAUAAAAAGCAGAAAUAGGAAUAUGGGAUCACUUCUUGCUAUGGAGGGAAUUUGGAAUCUCCCAGGACCUUGUUUUGCUACCUUGCUUUUCAGCAUAUUUGUAAAUGGUCUGGAAAGGGGAGGGAUAUUAAGGUGACAGUUGCAGAUGUUAUAAAAUCGCUGAGGAUAAUAAAAUCUAAAUCUGAUUGCAAAAUGCUGCGAAAGGAUACUGGGGUGCUACGUGACAGGGAAAUGAAACAGCAGAUCUAAUUUAGUGUUGGUAGUCCUUCGCAUGAUAAAUGCAAAAUUACAUUAGAAGUGAAAAGUGACUGCCUAUAUAACCAAAUGGACUUUUGAUAUUACUAAUCAGAAAUGAGAUUGUGAAAUUACUUCAAAGAGUCUCUGAAAAUAGCUUCUCAAUGUUCAGCAGUGAUCAAGAAACCACAGAGCUGGAAAUUAUUAAGAAAGGAUUUGUAAGAAACCAAAACAUCCUUUUGUCUGGAUAGAUCCAUGGUACACUCUGUCCAUGUCAGUUGUCCAUGAAUCUGUCAGUUCUGUUUCCCCAUAUUUCAGAAAAUAUACAGUAAAGCAAUAAAGGAUGAUAGCAGUGAUCAGAGCUUUGAAUUACAUCAUAUGAGAAGAGAUGAAGCUGACUAGAAAUUAGAGAAGGGGGCAAUUUGGGAAGGAGAUGAUAAAGAUUGACUAAAACAAGAUUAUGAAAUCACAGAUUACACAUGGAUGAACAGGGCAGGAUUGUUCAGUGUUUGACACAGGAAAAACACCCAUGGUACCCAAUGAAGUUUGAAUAGUAGAUUUCAGAAAUAAAAUUAAAUACUCAACCAGGCAAAAUCUAAAUUAAAUUCUAGAAUCUACAGGGUUUCCUGAAGGCCAAAAUUGUAAAUGGAUGCAAGGUGUAAUUGCAUAGUUUAAGGAUAAGUGGUCCUUUAUCAGCUUUUAAAUAGGUAACAAUUUCCAAGAAGCCUCUAAGUCUGACUGAUAGGAAGAUGGCAAAACAUUCCUUGGGAGGCACCAUUCAGUAUUUGUCCUGUUUCCUAGUGUCUCCUCAUGUUCUUCCUUUGAGAUGCUGAGCAGUUGGUCCUUCAUCUCAGUACAGCCCUUACAGUAUCGUCAUUCCUUCCUUUUAAUGUCUAACUCAAGAAGCAACCUGAAGGACCUAAUGCCUCUUCUUAAUGGUGAAAUUCAAUCUCUCCAAGGCACAGAAGAGCUCCAGUUCAAGAAGGCCUAACUAUCUGCAGACUCAGUUCCUCUUCCUGCCUUUUGUAGGCUCCCAUGCAGCUCCUGGCAUAUUUUGAAUAGUGAACCUGAAUGACUUCAAUACAACAGUUCUAAAAACUUCCUGGAAGUUUUUACUCUGCUGUGUCUCAGAUGAAAAAAAAAUGUAUAUAUCUAUCUCUCCAUGUACUCACCAAUUCUUUACCCCCAAUAUAGCCCCAGGCAUUUGUGGCUGUUCUGCAUCUUACAGAACUGUGUCUCAUGGAAAAAAAUCUGGAAAAUCUUGGUAGUGAAAAGUCACAUUCCUUGUUUUUAACCUGUGCAUGUCCUUAGUGUUACAGUGUUAUUGUGGCCAGUGUAACAGUACUGAAUUUGGAAUAUAAAGUAACUGUUUGGAUCUCUGCUAAAUUAUCACAAGUGUAACAGUGCUGAAUUUGGAAUAUAAAGCAACUGUUUGGAUCUCUGCUAAAUUAUCACAAGGGUAACAGUGCUGACUUUGGAAUAUAAAGUAACUGUUUGGAUCUCUGCUAAAUUAUCACAAGUGUAACAGAGGGCUUCAGGUCAAUGACAAAAGCAAAUGAUGGGGUACUUUUUCAUGUUUAAUGCAUCUGUUUUUCUGUUGUUAAUUGAUAUCCUAAGAAAAUAUGGGGAGUGAAAUAAUCUUAUUUUUGAAUCUGGUUUUGCAGUUUUAACUAUGAUGUCAGCUGUGAUUUCAACAUCGGGCCUAUGUUUUGAGCAACAAUACAUCUAGGAAAUACACUCUCUCCUACAAAUCUCCAGAACUUCUGACAGACUUCACAAUCUGGAUAUUACUGUUGUACAUAGCUGUAGUUGUUCUUAAGUGACCCUUGAUCUUUUUUUGUUUCUGUAAAACUUGUGAAUUUGAAGCACAAAAAGAUGUACAGGGUCAGAAAUCUUUAUCUUUACUCUUCAUUAUCACUAAAUGCAUUAUCUCCCAAGGGUGAAGAAAACAGGUCAUGUAGACAAUCACUGAAAUUGGCAUCUUUUCUCUCUCAAGUAGCCAGGGAGGUGGAUCAAUGAGCUAUGGAGUGCUAGCAGGAAAGCAGGUAUUUCUUAUAUGCUGGUUAAUUAACCAUUAGUCAUUGCCUAAAAAUACUGCAGUUUGAGUUACAUCAGUCCUCCAGAUCAGGGUGAUGAAGCAUUAACUUUAAUACAUCUAAUCUUGCUGCUGCCUGCUGAGCUGGGGUGGUAAAGGAGGGGUGGUACCAGCUGUAGCAAUGACCAGGCCAUCCUAUGAGCUCAGACAGGUGUAAAUGCAAAUCAUUGUGGCACACAUAAAGCCAGGCUCAAACUGGCUCUUCCUUCAGGAGGAACCUGUUAGGUAACCACAGUUCUACCCCACAGGCUCAGAUGCUCAGUGGGACUUUGACAAUUUUUUGAAGAGCUCUGAAUUGUUCAUUCAUUGUGAAGUUACCCCAAACCAGGAAAAUCCCUUCUGAGAACACACACGCAGCUUUUAGUUGUCUAUUUUAUAUCAACAUCCCUAGAUUUUCAUAUCACUGAAAGUCCUCAGUGCAACUCAUUCUGGUGAAAUGUUCUGUGUGAAGACAGCUGAUAAAAUAGAGAAUAAUUUAACAGCAAAUUCUGAACAAACAAUAUUGACCCUUGAAAAUGUGGCAUUUCCAUUUUAGAAAGCAUAUUUUUUCUAGCUGUGCAGACAA
Molecule: non-coding RNA, 3658 nt
Organism: Cyanistes caeruleus (blue tit)
Lineage: Eukaryota; Metazoa; Chordata; Aves; Passeriformes; Paridae
Source: RefSeq, a predicted model, not a curated record